GCUUCAAUAGCUCAGCUGGAUAGAGCAACCGCCUUCUAAGCGGUAGGUCAGGGGUUCGAGUCCCUUUUGGAGCGCCA
RNAcentral lists this transfer RNA (77 nucleotides) under Oscillospiraceae bacterium. RNAcentral's name for it is "tRNA-Arg". It matches the Rfam family "tRNA". Rfam says of the family: Transfer RNA (tRNA) molecules are approximately 80 nucleotides in length. Their secondary structure includes four short double-helical elements and three loops (D, anti-codon, and T loops). The record is from RNAcentral. Lineage: Bacteria; Bacillati; Bacillota; Clostridia; Eubacteriales; Oscillospiraceae. RNAcentral also lists the same sequence under 1 other name.